UAUGAUGAUGGAUGGGCACUAGCAUUAGUGGUGUUAAAGCCUAGAGAAGAUGAUUGUUGAGGUUGUGUAAAACGAAAAGAAGAAACACCACCACCAUGAUUGGUGGUUUCUGACAAGAUCUCGAUGUUUCCUCGAGGUGUCAUCGGAUACGGGUGAGUGUGGGUACCUUCAUAAGUUGUGAUCACGAUGGAUGGAUCAUCGGAUGAUCUUUCGACUCGCUUCUUCACUCCACAAGCUACACUUGUGCACCUAUGGUAACUCCUAUAUAUUUUGUACAACAAUAAAAUUGCUUCAAUCUUUAGAAAAUAUAAUUGACUGAGUGUAUACAUGCGUGUUUUUAAUGAUACCAUGUCAAUCUGAACACGAUGUGUUACGAACUAUCUUUAAUUACAUAAUAUGAAUGUAUCAAAACCCAAAUGAUACCAUGUCAAUCUGAACACGAUGUGUUACGAACUAUCUUUAAUUACAUCAUAUGAAUGUAUCAAAACUCCAAAGGAUAUAGUCAUAUACAUCAUAUGAAUGCAUCAAAACACCAAAGGAUAUAGUCAUAUUAGGGCAACAAAAAAAAGUUUAGAGAGAGAAACAGAUGGAAUCUAGAGAGAGAGAGAGAGUAUACCUAGGGAAAGGGCUGUUUUUCACAGCUUUCUGACCGUACUUUCUCCAUCUAUAACCAUCAUCCAAGUGAUCAAUAUUAGUCUUUGUCAUGAAUGCAAAUCUUGGUUCCCUUUGUCUUUUUGGGUUCUUCUUUUUGGGUUUUAAGCUACGAAAUCCAAUGAAACAGCCACAUUUUAGCUCAAGAAUAAACCACAUAUAUAAAAUAUAUAGUUAAUCAGAAAAAAAACUAAUUAUUUUGUAAUAAAUAAAACAAUUUAGAUAAAAAUAAAAAUAAAAAAUAAAGAUCUGUCAAAUCUAGAAAACUGAUGCACCACAUAAGACCCGUUCGUCAAAUCUAGUUUUGGGUGUGUAUAUGUGUGUGAAAAGGACCUAACUAUUCUUGGUCAAAACAAAGAUCUUGAACAAAACGUGUAUGUGUGAAACUAGAAAUAAUGGUGUUUCUUUUCUUUUCUUUCUUUUUCUGGGUCAGAACCACUGAAUUAAUAUCUGAAAAUUACACAAAAGUUACAUUAACUAUUGGAAUAUAAUUUUCUUGAUUUCAUUAAUUGGCAAUGAAGAAGGAAUUAAGAACUCAUAAAAACUCAUGUGUGUGUGUGU
This 1212-nucleotide long non-coding RNA is filed under the name Helianthus annuus (common sunflower). RNAcentral describes it as "hypothetical non coding rna". Lineage: Eukaryota; Viridiplantae; Streptophyta; Magnoliopsida; Asterales; Asteraceae. The record is from RNAcentral.